CGUCCCGAGCCUUUGCGUCAAAGAAAGCAAGGGUUUCCGGGCGCCGGGUUUUGCCACCCGCCGUCUCCCGGCGUCUCGCUCCGGAGAACGUGGAAAUCCGGACUCCUGGUUCUGCUGCCGCCCGGAGACAGGCAAACCUCCCCAUAUGAGAUGUCGCAGCAGGUAAAAGAGCUUGCUGACCAAGCUGGAUCACCUGAGCUCCCUGGAACCCACCUGAUGGAAGGAGAGAACUGACUUAAGUUGUCAUCUGAUAGCUACAGGUUCAGUGCUGUGGCAUGUGUCCCUCCUCCCCACAACGAUGAUGAUGAGGAGGAAGAAGAUACAGAAAAUAAAAAUUCAAGAUUUAUUUGGGGAAGGUGGGGUGCUACAAACUAGUAAAUCCCAGGAAUCCCAGACUAAGGCAGGAGGUUCAUGAAAUUCAGCCUGAGCUAUGUAGCCAGACUGUCUCAAAAGGUCAGAAAGAGAAAGGAAAAAGAUUCACUUAUUCAAAGAAAUCGUGGCCUUUGAGAGGACGAAAGUAGUUCACCAACCAAACACAUAUUGAAAACCUCGUGUAUACAGAGCAUAAAGGAAGUCUGAUACACACACAGAGUUCCCAUUUCAUCUUUGCUGGCUGCAGACAGUAGGCCCAGUAAGCAGAUAAAGACACGACCUACAAAGACUCAGUUACCGGCCCUGGGUCACACGUGUAAGUGGUGGGGUCGAAAGGAGGAAGGCAGUGAGCUAGAGAGGGUUCCAGGCUUCCUGCCUCCAG
This 754-nucleotide long non-coding RNA is filed under the name Cricetulus griseus (Chinese hamster). RNAcentral's name for it is "lncRNA (ENSCGRG00000026396.1)". Lineage: Eukaryota; Metazoa; Chordata; Mammalia; Rodentia; Cricetidae. The record is from RNAcentral.